GACGAACGCUGGUGGCGUGCUUAACACAUGCAAGUCGAACGGGAUUUCGUAAACAGCGGCCUCUGCGGGAGAUUCCUACUGAUAGUGGCGAAGGGGUGAAUCACGCCUGAGCAUCCUGCUUAUUACAGUGGGCUAGCCUCGAGAACCCGGGAUUACUCCCGCAUCAAAUCGUGGGAACACAUGUUUCAACGGUCAAGGAUUUAUCGGUCAUAGAUGGGCUCGCGUCUGAUUAGCUAGUUGGUGAGAUAACAGCCCACCAAGGCGACGAUCAGGAGCCGGUCUGAGAGGAUGAACGGCCAGAUUGGAACUGAGGCACGGUCCCAUAUGCGACGGGAGGCAGCAGUAGGGAAUAUUGCACAAGGGGGGAAACCGUGAUGAAGCGACGUGGGGGGAACGAAGAAGGGAUUCGUAUCGUAAAGUUCUGUGCGAUGGGAAGAGAAUGACAGUACCAGAGAAGAAAGCACCGGCUAAAUACGUG
RNAcentral lists this ribosomal RNA (478 nucleotides) under uncultured bacterium. RNAcentral describes it as "partial 16S ribosomal RNA". It matches the Rfam family "Bacterial small subunit ribosomal RNA", at positions 28 to 507 of the family's 1533-position model. The record is from RNAcentral.